AACGCUGGCGGCGUGCCUAAUACAUGCAAGUCGAACGCGCAGCGAAAGGUGCUUGCACCUUUCAAGCGAGUGGCGAACGGGUGAGUAACACGUGGAUAACCUGCCUCAAGGCUGGGGAUAACAUUUGGAAACAGAUGCUAAUACCGAAUAAAACUUAGUAUCGCAUGAUACAAAGUUGAAAGGCGCUACGGCGUCACCUAGAGAUGGGUCCGCGGUGCAUUAGUUAGUUGGUGGGGUAAAGGCCUACCAAGACAAUGAUGCAUAGCCGAGUUGAGAGACUGAUCGGCCACAUUGGA
This 296-nucleotide ribosomal RNA is filed under the name Leuconostoc lactis. RNAcentral describes it as "partial 16S ribosomal RNA". It matches the Rfam family "Bacterial small subunit ribosomal RNA", at positions 32 to 317 of the family's 1533-position model. The record is from RNAcentral. Lineage: Bacteria; Bacillati; Bacillota; Bacilli; Lactobacillales; Lactobacillaceae.